AAUAGAGGCCAGGACUCCUGGCUCCCCGUCCAGACUCUGAGGACCCAGGAGCCUCCAUGGGUACACUCAGAGGCCACACUAGAUGCAAAAAGAACCAUUUACAGAGAAGUGAGAGGUUCUCAAAGGCUCAACCAAAUGCCUCUGCCAGGAGAAUCUUUCAGAGUGUCCUGGAACAUUGGAAAUAGGCUUAAAGCUUAAAUGAUGAAUCAGAAGAGUUAUGCUGUAUUCUAAUGCUGCCACUAGGGCCACACAGGGUGCCAACAUCCAAUCUCAAGAUCUUCGGGAAAUAUGCUCACCCUCCAAAAUACUUACAGAUGUGUCUCCUCUUUUUUGUAAAAUAAAUGCUCUUCUUAUAUUUGGUGUUUCCUUGGUAUGGCCACAAGAUUAUUUAGUAUGACAUAUUUAAUGGUGAAGAUAAAGGUGCUUUUCUAGACCUCAAACGCUAAGACAACAUGGUGUAA
This 461-nucleotide long non-coding RNA is filed under the name Homo sapiens (human). Its description in RNAcentral is "HSALNT0376946". The record is from RNAcentral. Lineage: Eukaryota; Metazoa; Chordata; Mammalia; Primates; Hominidae.